AGCCUACGGGGGGCAGCAGUGGGGAAUAUUGCACAAUGGGCGCAAGCCUGAUGCAGCAACGCCGCGUGAGGGACGACGGCCUUCGGGUUGUAAACCUCUUUUAGCAGGGAAGAAGCGAAAGUGACGGUACCUGCAGAAAAAGCACCGGCUAACUACGUGCCAGCAGCCGCGGUAAUACGUAGGGUGCAAGCGUUAUCCGGAAUUAUUGGGCGUAAAGAGCUCGUAGGCGGUCUGUCGCGUCUGCUGGGAAAACUGGAGGCUCAACCUCCAGCCUGCAGUGGGUACGGGCAGACUAGAGUGCGGUAGGGGAGAUUGGAAUUCCUGGUGUAGCGGUGGAAUGCGCAGAUAUCAGGAGGAACACCGAUGGCGAAGGCAGAUCUCUGGGCCGUAACUGACGCUGAGGAGCGAAAGCGUGGGGAGCGAACAGGAUUAGAUACCCGUGUAGUCA
This 448-nucleotide ribosomal RNA is filed under the name uncultured Salinibacterium sp. Its description in RNAcentral is "bacterial SSU rRNA". It matches the Rfam family "Bacterial small subunit ribosomal RNA", at positions 335 to 796 of the family's 1533-position model. Lineage: Bacteria; Bacillati; Actinomycetota; Actinomycetes; Micrococcales; Microbacteriaceae. The record is from RNAcentral.